This 279-nucleotide ribosomal RNA is filed under the name uncultured bacterium. RNAcentral describes it as "partial 16S ribosomal RNA". It matches the Rfam family "Bacterial small subunit ribosomal RNA", at positions 506 to 784 of the family's 1533-position model. The record is from RNAcentral.
UGCCAGCAGCCGCGGUAAUACGGGGGGUGCAAGCGUUACUCGGAAUCACUGGGCGUAAAGGGAGCGCAGGCGGGUUAAUAAGUAUCUUGUGAAAGCCUAUGGCUUAACCAUAGAACGGCAAGAUAAACUGUUAACCUAGAGUUCAGAAGAGGUAAGUGGAAUAGGUGGUGUAGGGGUAAAAUCCGUAGAGAUCACCUGGAAUGCCAACGGCGAAAGCAACUUACUGGGAUGAUACUGACGCUGAGGCCCGAAAGCGUGGGGAGCAAACAGGAUUAGAUA